GCUGCUUUGGCCCCACGAAGGAACUGGAACAUUCGAAGUGUUGUAGGGGAUAGUGGGUGUACUUCCCCUUCUGAAGGACAUCCCGCCAUUGUGUGCACUAAAAGUUUCCUUGUCUCAGUGCUGUUACUCGGUCAUGUAUCAAAGUAUGUCAUGGUUAUGUCCAGGGGCUUUCUGGUGCUCUGCUCGAUCUCUGUGGACGAUAGCUGUUCAUGAGCCCCCGAACAGAAGGAAGAGACUACACAAGGGGGGCUCACCGCAAGAGUUACAGUGAAUGAGUAAACGCUAACAACUCUGCAAGGCAUUAAAUGCAAGUCGACAGCAGAAGGGCUUCGGCGAACAUGUACAAACAGUCACAUACCUAGGAGUUUUAGUUUUUG
Molecule: long non-coding RNA, 377 nt
Organism: Ornithodoros turicata
Lineage: Eukaryota; Metazoa; Arthropoda; Arachnida; Ixodida; Argasidae
Exons: 3
Source: RefSeq, a predicted model, not a curated record